Molecule: transfer RNA, 72 nt
Organism: Toxocara canis (dog roundworm)
Lineage: Eukaryota; Metazoa; Nematoda; Chromadorea; Rhabditida; Toxocaridae
Rfam family: tRNA
About the family: Transfer RNA (tRNA) molecules are approximately 80 nucleotides in length. Their secondary structure includes four short double-helical elements and three loops (D, anti-codon, and T loops).
Source: Rfam
GGGGCAACAGUUCAGUGGUAGAGCCCCCGCUUCGCAUGCGGGAAGAUCUGGGUUCGAUUCCCCGUUGCUUCC